This 226-nucleotide unclassified non-coding RNA is filed under the name air metagenome. Its description in RNAcentral is "partial contains small subunit ribosomal RNA, internal transcribed spacer 1, and 5.8S ribosomal RNA". The stretch from base 1 to 46 matches the Rfam family "Eukaryotic small subunit ribosomal RNA", at positions 1786 to 1831 of the family's 1831-position model. The record is from RNAcentral.
AAGUCGUAACAAGGUCUCCGUAGGUGAACCUGCGGAGGGAUCAUUACCGAGUGAGGGCCCCUCGUGGCCCGACCUCCCACCCUUUGUUGUCCCAUCCUGUUGCCUCGGGGGAGGCCCGGCCGCUCGCGGCCCCGGGCGCCCCCGGUGGACCGUCAAACGCUGGCUGUAUGCGUCGGAGUACAAACGAAAUAAAUCAAAACUUUCAACAACGGAUCUCUUGGUUCUG